Molecule: ribosomal RNA, 478 nt
Filed under: uncultured bacterium
Lineage: Bacteria
Description: bacterial SSU rRNA
Rfam family: Bacterial small subunit ribosomal RNA
Source: RNAcentral
UGCAGUAGAACGCUGAAGGAGGAGCUUGCUUCUCUGGAUGAGUUGCGAACGGGUGAGUAACGCGUAGGUAACCUGCCUGGUAGCGGGGGAUAACUAUUGGAAACGAUAGCUAAUACCGCAUAAUAGCAGUUGUUGCAUGACAACUGUUUGAAAGGUGCAAUUGCACCACUACCAGAUGGACCUGCGUUGUAUUAGCUAGUUGGUGGGGUAACGGCUCACCAAGGCGACGAUACAUAGCCGACCUGAGAGGGUGAUCGGCCACACUGGGACUGAGACACGGCCCAGACUCCUACGGGAGGCAGCAGUAGGGAAUCUUCGGCAAUGGACGGAAGUCUGACCGAGCAACGCCGCGUGAGUGAAGAAGGUUUUCGGAUCGUAAAGCUCUGUUGUAAGAGAAGAACGAGUGUGAGAGUGGAAAGUUCACACUGUGACGGUAUCUUACCAGAAAGGGACGGCUAACUACGUGCCAGCAGCCGCG